GACGAACGCUGGCGGCGUGCCUAAUACAUGCAAGUCGAGCGAACAUUUGAGAGCUUGCUCUCAAAUGUUAGCGGCGGACGGGUGAGUAACACGUGGGCAACCUGCCUAUAAGACUGGGAU
Molecule: ribosomal RNA, 120 nt
Filed under: uncultured bacterium
Lineage: Bacteria
Description: partial 16S ribosomal RNA
Rfam family: Bacterial small subunit ribosomal RNA
Source: RNAcentral